Molecule: ribosomal RNA, 253 nt
Filed under: uncultured bacterium
Lineage: Bacteria
Description: partial 16S ribosomal RNA
Rfam family: Bacterial small subunit ribosomal RNA
Source: RNAcentral
GACGUAGGGGACAAGCGUUAUCCGGAUUUACUGGGCGUAAAGCGCCCGUAGGCGGCCUGACAAGUUGGACGUGAAAGCUCCUGGCUUAACUGGGAGAGGCCGUUCAAAACUGUCAAGCUAGAGUCUGGAAGAGGAGAGCGGAAUUCCCGGUGUAGUGGUGGAAUGCGUAGAGAUCGGGAGGAACACCAGUGGCGAAAGCGGCUCUCUGGUCCAAAACUGACGCUGAGGGGCGAAAGCGUGGGGAGCGAACGGG